CCAAAACAAGUUGACUUAUCCUGUGAGGAUGGGACCAAUCCAUUGGUAACAUUAUCCUACACCAACACAUGGCUAUCAUGCUGCUCUAAAUCUGGCCUUUUCAUCAGGUAUCGCGACAGGUAUUCAGGCGGAGAAAUUCCUACCUGGACAGGAUGGUUAGCUGCUUUCCUUUAUAAGUAUUCAGGUGUGUAUCCAAGUGUCUCUGUAAGGGAAGGCAGUAAUCCAGGCACCUAUAUCUGGUGACUGGAUGGUCACAGAUCUGGUUUGUUCCCCUAGGUGGAGCUGUACAAAGGAAGAAUCCCCUACCUGUUUACCACCACAGGUGUUUCGUUUGCCCCUGUUUACGACAGCUACUCAGUGGCUCAAUGGAUGAUCCGGACUUCUCCUGUAGAGACGAGUGUUAAACGCUUUCAACAUGAGGUUUCUGCUAUACAGAAUUACCAAUGAGUGGGAAAAGCUGGAAUACUACCUUUGCCUCAGGCUCGGGCGGGCCCGAUGUGGGGCAUUAUACCUCAACACCACUAUCAGACCAUAGCGCCAUCAAAUGAAAGCAUUAAUGUAUAAAUAAUCUGACGUCAUUUUCAGUAUUUCUAUACAAAACACUUAAAAAUAAAAUCUAAACUUGUGGUUGUGCAAAGUAAAAAGAAAUAAAAAAUUCAGUGAUGCAAUAUAUCUAUUUGCUUGGGAAAUCCCAUAAAAAGCUAUAAAUAUAUCAUUACUUCAGUACAAACCAGAAAAUCUAUACAUACAAUGGUAGAGAGGUUGUGCUUGU
This is a long non-coding RNA of Pecten maximus, 772 nucleotides long. RefSeq lists it as uncharacterized. Lineage: Eukaryota; Metazoa; Mollusca; Bivalvia; Pectinida; Pectinidae. The transcript has 3 exons. The record is from RefSeq and is a predicted model, not a curated record.